UGGGGAAUUUUGGACAAUGGGCGCUAGCCUGAUCCAGCCAUGCCGCGUGAGUGAUGAAGGCCCUAGGGUUGUAAAGCUCUUUCACCGGUGAAGAUAAUGACGGUAACCGGAGAAGAAGCCCCGGCUAACUUCGUGCCAGCAGCCGCGGUAAUACGAAGGGGGCUAGCGUUGUUCGGAUUUACUGGGCGUAAAGCGCACGUAGGCGGACUUUUAAGUCAGGGGUGAAAUCCCGGGGCUCAACCCCGGAACUGCCUUUGAUACUGGAAGUCUUGAGUAUGGUAGAGGUGAGUGGAAUUCCGAGUGUAGAGGUGAAAUUCGUAGAUAUUCGGAGGAAAACCAGUGGCGAAGGCGGCUCACUGGACCAUUACUGACGCUGAGGUGCGAAAGCGUGGGGAGCAAACAGG
RNAcentral lists this ribosomal RNA (404 nucleotides) under Actinomycetes bacterium. RNAcentral describes it as "Actinobacteria bacterium partial 16S ribosomal RNA". It matches the Rfam family "Bacterial small subunit ribosomal RNA", at positions 355 to 776 of the family's 1533-position model. Lineage: Bacteria; Bacillati; Actinomycetota; Actinomycetes. The record is from RNAcentral.